GAUGAACGCUAGCGAUAGGCUUAACACAUGCAAGUCGAGGGGCAGCAUGGUCUUAGCUUGCUAAGGCUGAUGGCGACCGGCGCACGGGUGCGUAACGCGUAUGCAACUUGCCUCACAGAGGGGGAUAACCCGUCGAAAGACGGACUAAUACCGCGUACACUCUAUGCUGGGCAUCCAAUGUAGAGGAAAUGAAAUUCGCUGUGAGAUAGGCAUGCGUCCCAUUAGCUAGUUGGUGAGGUAACGGCUCACCAAGGCGACGAUGGGUAGGGGAACUGAGAGGUUGAACCCCCACACUGGUACUGAGACACGGACCAGACUCCUACGGGAGGCAGCAGUGAGGAAUAUUGGUCAAUGGGCGAGAGCCUGAACCAGCCAAGUCGCGUGAAGGAUGACUGUCUUAUGGAUUGUAAACUUCUUUUAUACGGGAAUAACAAGAGUCACGUGUGGCUCCCUGCAUGUACCGUAUGAAUAAGCAUCGGCUAACUCCGUG
RNAcentral lists this ribosomal RNA (490 nucleotides) under uncultured bacterium. RNAcentral's name for it is "partial 16S ribosomal RNA". It matches the Rfam family "Bacterial small subunit ribosomal RNA", at positions 28 to 507 of the family's 1533-position model. The record is from RNAcentral.